This 500-nucleotide ribosomal RNA is filed under the name uncultured bacterium. Its description in RNAcentral is "partial 16S ribosomal RNA". It matches the Rfam family "Bacterial small subunit ribosomal RNA", at positions 30 to 523 of the family's 1533-position model. The record is from RNAcentral.
AUUGAACGCUGGCGGCAUGCCUUACACAUGCAAGUCGAACGUCAGCACGGGAGCAAUCCUGGUGGCGAGUGGCGAACGGGUGAGCAAUAUAUCGGAACGUGCCCAGUCGUGGGGGAUAACGCAGCGAAAGCUGUGCAAAUACCGCAUACGAUCUACGCAUGAAAGCGGGGGAUCGCAAGACCUCGCGCGAGUGGAGCGGCCGAUAUCAGAUUAGCUAGUUGGUGAGGUAAAGGCUCACCAAGGCGACGAUCUGUAGCUGGUCUGAGAGGACGACCAGCCAAACUGGAACUGAGACACGGUCCAGACUCCUACGGGAGGCAGCAGUGGGGAAUUUUGGACAAUGGGCGAAGGCCUGAUCCAGCAAUGCCGCGUGCAGGAUGAAGGCCUUCGGGUUGUAAACUGCUUUUGUACGGAACGAAACGGUGAGCUCUAAUACAGUUUGCUAAUGACGGUACCGUAAGAAUAAGCACCGGCUAACUACGUGCCAGCAGCCGCCGUAA